Non-coding RNA from Aegilops tauschii subsp. strangulata, 1423 nucleotides. The record is from RefSeq and is a predicted model, not a curated record. NCBI's taxonomy places the organism in Eukaryota, Viridiplantae, Streptophyta, Magnoliopsida, Poales, Poaceae.
CGCCCCCGCUUUCCUCCGUGACUCCCUCCCCCGCUUUCCCCUGUCCACCACGGCGCGCCGCCAACACGGGAUCCCGGUGGGCCGGCUCCCCCCUGCGCACGGCGCACUCUGCCUCGCCGCCCUAGCCAGGAUUCGUUGGUCGAUCCCCUCGCCGCUCCCUCCCUCUCCGCCGCGCCUCACUCCCAAUCCGGCACCCUCCCUUUCUCCCGCCGCAUACCAGUCCUUCCACGGCGGCCACCUCCUUCCUCCUCUCCCCUUCGACGGCCACCUUCUUCCUCCUCUCUCCUUUAACCUCCUCCAUACUUGCGGUGCCUGCCACAGCUACUUCGCAACGGAGCAGCGGCCGAUGGUGUCGUCGUUGGGGAUCGUUGUCGGGCUGCUCAACAAUGGACUCGCUGCUGCCCAUCCCAACUUGGCGCCGGCGUCAGCAAGCACCUCCUCCCUCGGAUGCUGUCCCGGCUAAUUCAGCCCAAAUGUAUGCACUUCCCUCUUGGUUAUUGAUUUGCUGGCGACGACAUCGAGCUCCCGACUACGGCCACGCUAUCUGUCGACUUGAAGCUACUGUACUCUGUUCGUCAAAAGGUACUGCAUGCUCACCCACCCUUUUAAGCUGUGGAUGCCCACGACCCAAUUGGUACUAAAGCUUGAGGGUCGUCAGUUUUGUCCUCCGAUAAUCAUCAACCUUCAUGGUGGGACCAAUUUGAAGCCUCCGCCCAUUGCUUGCUGGUGAUGCGCGUGUUGGCAGGAACAUACGUGCACCCCCGGUGUCGCCUCCCCUCUCUGUACCAGGUUGGUGUUCCGUUAAAUCUUCAUCUAUAAACUAAAGAUGGACAGAAAUUCAGUAAUGUUCAGUUUGCUGCAGCGAAUGGCAAGGGUUUGUGUUACAACUAAGACUGCUGGUGACCUGAAUGCUCUCUUCUACCUGAUAAGCUCAUAAGUGUGACAGCAUUACCCUGUGAAAAUUCUUAUCCCCCACAAUGCACUACAAACAGCAAGAAAUAAGGAAACAUUUCAGGACAAGUGGAAUAAUUCCACGAAGAAAUAUCAAGGGACUAUGAUCCAUGUUUUACUGCUAAAUAAAUAUAUUCCAUGUAUUGGCAGUAGUAGUUGGAGAUUCAAAAAGAUGCGAUUACUAUGGUUGUGUUAUUUGGCAACAUGGACUACGAUUGUACUAAAGGCUGUUGUCUUUACCAUUUCACUUUGUCUGUAGUUUGUUGUAAAUCCUUUCGGAUCUUUGUCUUUUGUUUAUUAGCGAGAAUGCAGUACUGUGGUGUGCGUUGCCCACAACUUAUUAGCAGUUCUUGCUUUCUUAUAAGAUCUUAAAGAUAAUCUCUGAAUAGUUGUACAAUUUGUUUUCAAAUCCUAGAUCUCUAUAUGUGAUGUCAAAUGGUUUGUUGCUGAAAAAGAAAAUGAUGUGACAGUU